GGCCGGCUUACGCGGAGGGCAAGCACCGUUGCCGCUCCCCGGGUGACCUUAUUAUCCCCCCCCCCCUCACCUGAGCGAGCCGCCCAAGCGACAGGCAUCUCGUCGGGUCGUUGAACAAAGCUGUUCCCGGCCACAGGGCGCCGGGCACCGCAGCUCAGAAAGGCGAAAAGAACUUUCUUAUUAAAAGGAAGAAUUUCAUGUUAAGGUGCUGCGGCUUACAUAACGAUUUUGGAUUGGGAGAUACGCUAGAAAAUAGUUCCAUUGCAGAGGAUGGUAAACAUCCGCCCGAGAGAAGAGAUGAUUCAUUUCGUGGGAGCAGUGCCAAGGGUGUGUGCUUAGAGUCCAGUUUUUCCAGACGAACAUCAUGUUGUAAAAGUCCUAGGGCUUCAGCCUCCGCUCAGGGACAUUUAUUGCUGGAGUUUUCUCAGAAAACUGUCUUCUUUCCAUUGCCACCGCCUCAAAGAAACUUAAAGGGGAGACGCUGCUCCGUGUGGUUUCCUUUUUUGUAACCCUUUUUUUUAAGGGAAGAUCAGACUCCAAGUGACUGUAGUAGCCUUGCGAUUUUUAUUCUGUUUAUUUAUUUAAUAAACUUUCCAGUAUAUUUUCAUGUGCCUAUUAUUCUGGGCCUUAUUGCCCUCUCUGUCCCCCAAGUUUGUUUGGAAUUUACUCUUCCAUUUCUGCCCUUGGUAGAAUAGGUAGAAAAAGGCUAUGAAAUUACGUACAAGGAAAGACAUAUGCCCAACUCACGACUGGGAAUUUUAACCGACUACACACAUAUAAACUAAGGUGCAUGAUAAUAUAUAAGAAAGGAUGAUCGAUAUUGCAUAGAGACAAACACUUUAGGUACCCAAGACGUGGUUCAUGUUUCCCACUUGGAUCUCCUGCAUCCGUUCAUUCAUUGAUUCGUUCAUUCGUGACCUAUUGUAAGUAAGUAAGACCAGCAUGGUCCCCGCCUUCACAGAGCUCUUGGAUGCUGACUAUGUAGACCUACCCUCCACUGAGGAAGUGAUGAUGCGUUAUCCAGAUGAAAGGGUGGGGAUGGAGGUGAGGGCAGAGCAAAGGACAGUAAAAUGCAGGGGGAGCUCUCCAGGCAGAGGGAAGACCAUAGGCAAAGGCGCUGGGAUGGGAGGCAGGAUGUAUGUGUGAGGGGCUGGAGGGCCAGCAGGUGGGAGGGGGUGCUAUUAGACAUGGCUGGAGUGGGCAGGGACCCACGCAUGCUGGCCGUGGUGGGAUUUGGAGUUUUAUCCUAAGAGCAAAGGGAAUUUGCUGA
RNAcentral lists this long non-coding RNA (1270 nucleotides) under Equus asinus (donkey). RNAcentral's name for it is "lncRNA (ENSEASG00005033781.1)". The record is from RNAcentral. Lineage: Eukaryota; Metazoa; Chordata; Mammalia; Perissodactyla; Equidae.